Molecule: ribosomal RNA, 729 nt
Filed under: uncultured bacterium
Lineage: Bacteria
Description: bacterial SSU rRNA
Rfam family: Bacterial small subunit ribosomal RNA
Source: RNAcentral
AACAGGAUUAGAUACCCUGGUAGUCCACGCCCUAAACGAUGUCUACUAGUUGUCGGGUUUUAAUUAACUUGGUAACGCAGCUAACGCGUGAAGUAGACCGCCUGGGGAGUACGGUCGCAAGAUUAAAACUCAAAGGAAUUGACGGGGACCCGCACAAGCGGUGGAUGAUGUGGAUUAAUUCGAUGCAACGCGAAAAACCUUACCUACCCUUGACAUGUACGGAAGACCGAAGAGAUUUGGUUGUGCUCGAAAGAGAACCGUAACACAGGUGCUGCAUGGCUGUCGUCAGCUCGUGUCGUGAGAUGUUGGGUUAAGUCCCGCAACGAGCGCAACCCUUGUCAUUAGUUGCUACAUUUAGUUGAGCACUCUAAUGAGACUGCCGGUGACAAACCGGAGGAAGGUGGGGAUGACGUCAAGUCCUCAUGGCCCUUAUGGGUAGGGCUUCACACGUCAUACAAUGGUACAUACAGAGGGCCGCCAACCCGCGAGGGGGGGCUAAUCCCAGAAAGUGUAUCGUAGUCCGGAUCGCAGUCUGCAACUCGACUGCGUGAAGUUGGAAUCGCUAGUAAUCGCGGAUCAGCAUGUCGCGGUGAAUACGUUCCCGGGUCUUGUACACACCGCCCGUCACACCAUGGGAGCGGGUUUUACCAGAAGUAGGUAGCUUAACCGUAAGGAGGGCGCUUACCACGGUAGGAUUCGUGACUGGGGUGAAGUCGUAACAAGGUAACC